GACAUAACACCAAGUGGGAUUGUAAUUUUAUGUCCUGCAUGAUUGCCUCUAGCUAGCUGAAAGGUGAUAUUGGUAAGAUACAUGGAGGAAUAGUGCGACACAAGCCAGUACCCUAUUUCAAGCAAUCCCUACGGUUUCUCUUAAAUCUCCUCUAUUUCUUUCCAACCUUUUUUACCAACCCCGGCCUGAACCAAAUCUCAGUACUUCAACAAAUGGGGUGGUUCAAGUCCCUCCUCUCCCCAUUGAAGAAAAUCUGGGAUCGUCUGCACUCCAGCCAUAGAAAGAGGAAUGGAAUUUAUAUAUUGUACAAGGACGUGAUGUCCUGCCCAUGCGAAGAUGUGCAGGUUUUAUGGUCAAUACUGGUGGAGUCACGAACACCUUCUAUGGCAUGAUCAAUAUAUAGCCUGAUCACAUGAUGUUUAGGUCUCUGAUCUUGGCAUAAUCCAGCAAACCAUAUGUAAAACAGGUCGAUCAUGUACGAGAUAGAUUAAUACUUCAUGCAUGUGUACAUAAAUAUAUGCUACAUUAUACUUACGGGUGAUCCGAACA
This is a long non-coding RNA of Carya illinoinensis, 549 nucleotides long. RefSeq lists it as uncharacterized. The record is from RefSeq and is a predicted model, not a curated record. The transcript is spliced from 2 exons. NCBI's taxonomy places the organism in Eukaryota, Viridiplantae, Streptophyta, Magnoliopsida, Fagales, Juglandaceae.